Molecule: long non-coding RNA, 1279 nt
Organism: Homo sapiens (human)
Lineage: Eukaryota; Metazoa; Chordata; Mammalia; Primates; Hominidae
Exons: 8
Source: RefSeq, a predicted model, not a curated record
CUCCUGACCUCGUGAUCCACCUGCCUCAGCCUCCCAAAGUGCUGGGAUUACAGGCGUGAGCCACCGGAGUCUUUGUAUUCUUAACUAGUUCUCAAAGCCCAGGUUUUGUUAUUUCUCAUAAAGAAACCAAAAUCCUGUGGUUCAGUCCUGGAUUUACACAGCCCAAAUGACAGGAUACUGAAGCAAGCAAGAGAGAGAAGCUGAUCACUCAUCCACUCCAUCAUCACCAUGCUCUUAAAGCUCUCUGUGUUUUUCAUUUCACAUCGUGUAUCAGUAAAAAUGUGGCAAUGACAAGAUACUAUUUCACUUUGUGAUACGAUGUGUUGGAAUAAAAAAAAGGAUGGAAAGUUUAUUGUCCUUCCAAGAAUAACAGACAUUUAUAUUUUGGAAAGAUGAGUUGUCUUUCAAACUUCACCAAGGAAUUAUAAAGAGUUAUGUCAGAACAUGGCAUGUAAAUUGAGUAUAUGAGAGUUCUACUUCCUCCACAUACUAUAUAACACCAGAAUGACACAGACUGAGUAAUUUAUAAAGAAAAGAAGUUUAUUUGGCUCAUGGUUCUGAAGGCUGCGAAGUUCAAGGUCCUGGUGGCAUUUUCUGAUGAGGACUUUUGUACCGCAUCAAAACAUGAGGGUAAAAAAUGGCCAAUUGGUGAAAAAAAUAAAAGAAGAAUGGCUAGAACUUCUCCCAAAGAGAAUUUUGUGUUUUGUUUUGUUCAUUGAUUCUCAAGCAACACCUAGAAGGAAAGCUGGAAAUGAAUGAAGAGAAGGAAGAGACGUACAGCUGCACUGGCUUGCCUCUCAGUAAGAUUACAGAUGCUUGCAUGAAUUCAUGACAGAUAAUUAUGUUCUAUAUAUCACACUGACUUUUGUUACAGUGGUACUACCAAGUUCUGGCGAAGAAUGAGGUUGUCAUUGGUAAAUAAUUGUUGAACCAGUUACUACAUUUCCUAGCUCCUCUUACCUCUAUAUGUGUCCAUGAGACUUUUGAUUGUGAAUGGAAGAUGAGAAGAAUUGAUGUGUGCCAUUCUCAGCCAAGGCUUUUUUAAAGAAGAGAGAGAAUGUGUCUCCUCCACGUUUUUGUUUGUUUGUUUGGUUUUGUUCUUACCCAUAUCUUGCACAGAAGCAUUAAAUAACUACAAUGCCCUAGAGAAUGGCAGAUGGGUAAGAUGAAAGGAGCCAGGUCCAGGCAGCACUCCACAGAAUAGGUCUCCCCGAGACACAGAAGAGUGCCACUUGUAUGCAAAGCCAAAAUAAACCUCUAUUGUGUUUGAAUCUUUAUG